CACGGAGUUAGCCGGUGCUUCUUCUGCGGGUAACGUCAAUCGACGCGGUUAUUAACCGCAUCGCCUUCCUCCCCGCUGAAAGUACUUUACAACCCGAAGGCCUUCUUCAUACACGCGGCAUGGCUGCAUCAGGCUUGCGCCCAUUGUGCAAUAUUCCCCACUGCUGCCUCCCGUAGG
RNAcentral lists this ribosomal RNA (177 nucleotides) under uncultured bacterium. RNAcentral's name for it is "partial 16S ribosomal RNA". The record is from RNAcentral.